GGAAAGUGUAUGCAAGGAAUGUCGUCGGUAACUUCCCAGAAGAGAUUUGGAGCUUGACUUUCCUCGUUAUCUUGAAUUUGGGGCUAAACCACUUGACAGGUUCUAUUCCACCAAAAAUAAGUAACCUAACUAGCUUGCAGUACUUAUUUCUGAAUGCCAAUGCAUUCUCAGGGGAACUUCCUAAGGAACUUGGAAAGCUUACUGAAUUGAGAGCGCUGUCAUUUGCUGAGAACAACUUUUUGGCCCUUUACCAUCCACAUUGGGUAACUUGUCCAAAUUAGAACAACUGUAUGUUUCAAUAAGCUCUUUAUGUUUUUCCCUCACUAUUUAUUCUUUUUUUUUCCACUAUAUGAUUAAAACAUGUGUGAUACCUUAAAAUAAACAUUAGCAAUACUAUAAAUUAAAACAUACAUGUGUGAUACAUUAAAAUAAACUUUAGCAAUACUAUAAAUUAAAACAUACAUGUUUCUUCUCAUACUCAUGGACAUUGGGUCUUUAUGUUUCUUUCUUAUUAGGGUAAAUCACAUGUUUAGUCACUUAACUUUAGGCAAAUUUUAUUUUGGUAACUCAAGUAUAAAAAGCUUAUGAUUCGAUCACUAACAUUUAUGAUAUUGUCUUUUUUGGUCAUCCAACUGUUAAUCUCUAAGGCAAGCUAACAUGGCAAUGUCAUAAUAUCCGUGAGACAUCAUAUGAGUUUGCCAUGUAAUCUAAUAUUACCACAUAAUUUG
Durio zibethinus is the source of this 728-nucleotide non-coding RNA. Lineage: Eukaryota; Viridiplantae; Streptophyta; Magnoliopsida; Malvales; Malvaceae. The record is from RefSeq and is a predicted model, not a curated record.